Molecule: long non-coding RNA, 1034 nt
Organism: Ictalurus furcatus (blue catfish)
Lineage: Eukaryota; Metazoa; Chordata; Actinopteri; Siluriformes; Ictaluridae
Exons: 4
Source: RefSeq, a predicted model, not a curated record
GUACAAAAACCUGUGUGAGUGUGACUGCUGCAGCUGGGACCUACUGCAGGUGCUGAGGGGGACGAUGUGAUACAGCACAAUCACACACACACACACACACACACACACACACACACACACACAAUCACACACACACACACACACACACACACACACACUCACAUGUCCACUGCAGGAUAAAUUUGAUGAAGGUGAAUUUACAGUAAGUUUAUAUUAUUGAGCUGGCUUUGCUGAAUCAUACAGCUGUGUAUCAUCAGCCUAGCAGUGGAAGCUAACAGCAUGUUAAUGGAUCAUUUUACCCAGAGGUAGCAUGUACAGGGAAAAGCAGUGGGUGUAGAACAGAGCUGUCUCAGUACUGUGAUGAGGCCUAAAUACUGACUGAGACAUUUCAUGUAUGUGAUGUAUAAUAUAGUUUGUAUAUUAUGUAAGCCAUAGAAAAUCACUAAUUGGAUGUGAGAGGUAUAGGUCAAAGGUCAUAAUCAUUAUAAUUAAAUAUAAUGGCAGGUCAAAGGGUCAUCAUAAUCACUUAUAAUUACGUUAAAUCCGGUUCCGAUGUAUUCCAGAUGUAUUCCAGACACACGCACACACAAGUUGUUUCCUUUCCCAUAGAUUGUGAUACGCUCAUGAGUUAGGCCUAGGUCAAAAAGGUCAAUGAUAAUUAUUGCUGCAUGUUCAUAGCUAUAGCUUUCACAUGCGUAUAACCCCCGCCCCUCCCUGCUUAGGUUGUUUUCAUGAGUUAGGCCUAGGUCAAAAAGGUCAAUGAUAAUUAUUGCUGCAUGUUCAUAGCUAUAGCUUUCACACGCGUAUAACCCCCGCCCCUCCCUGCUUAGGUUGUUUUCAUGAGUUAGGCCUAGGUCAAAAAGGUCAAUGAUAAUUAUUGCUGCAUGUUCAUAGCUAUAGCUUUCACACGCGUAUAACCCCCGCCCCUCCCUGCUUAGGUUGUUUUCAUGAGUUAGGCCUAGGUCAAAAAGGUCAAUGAUAAUUAUUGCUGCAUGUUCAUAGCUAUAGCUUUCACACGCGUAUAACCCCCGCCC